GGGAGCGCGUCGCUACCUGCAGUCGAGCGAGAAGGUCUUCGGACUGAGUACAGCGGCGGACGGGUGAGUAACGCGUAGGAAUCUACCCAGUAGUGGGGGACAACUUGGGGAAACUCAAGCUAAUACCGCAUACGCCCUAUGGGGGAAAGCGGGGGAUCUUCGGACCUCGCGCUAUUGGAUGAGCCUGCGUCGGAUUAGCUAGUUGGUGGGGUAAAAGCCUACCAAGGCGACGAUCCGUAGCUGGUCUGAGAGGACGAUCAGCCACACUGAGACUGAGACACGGCCCAGACUCCUACGGGAGGCAGCAGUGGGGAAUAUUGCGCAAUGGGGGAAACCCUGACGCAGCCAUGCCGCGUGUGUGAAGAAGGCUCUAGGGUUGUAAAGCACUUUCAGCAGUGAGAAAAAGCCACCGGAUAAUACCCGUUGGUCUUGAUGUUAACUGUAGAAGAAGCACCGGCUAACUCCGUGCCAGCAGCCGCGGUAAUACGGAGGGUGCGAGCGUUAAUCGGAAUUACUGGGCGUAAAGCGCGCGUAGGCGGUCUGUUAAGUCGGAUGUGAAAGCCCCGGGCUUAACCUGGGAACUGCAUUCGAUACUGGCAGACUGGAAUGCGGGAGAGGGAGAUAGAAUUCCAUGUGUAGCGGUGAAAUGCGUAGAUAUAUGGAGGAAUACCAGCGGCGAAGGCGGCCUCCUGGCCUGACAUUGACGCUGAGGUGCGAAAGCGUGGGGAGCAAACAGGAUUAGAUACCCUGGUAGUCCACGCCGUAAACGAUGUCUACUAGCCGUUGGAGAACUUGAUUCUUUAGUGGCGCAGCUAACGCACUAAGUAGACCGCCUGGGGAGUACGGCCGC
This 850-nucleotide ribosomal RNA is filed under the name uncultured marine bacterium. Its description in RNAcentral is "bacterial SSU rRNA". It matches the Rfam family "Bacterial small subunit ribosomal RNA", at positions 38 to 889 of the family's 1533-position model. The record is from RNAcentral.